AGAGUUUGAUCCUGGCUCAGAUUGAACGCUGGCGGCAGGCCUAACACAUGCAAGUCGAACGGUAACAGGAAGCAGCUUGCUGCUUUGCUGACGAGUGGCGGACGGGUGAGUAAUGUCUGGGAAACUGCCUGAUGGAGGGGGAUAACUACUGGAAACGGUGGCUAAUACCGCAUAACGUCGCAAGACCAAAGAGGGGGACCUUCGGGCCUCUUGCCAUCAGAUGUGCCCAGAUGGGAUUAGCUUGUUGGUGAGGUAACGGCUCACCAAGGCGACGAUCCCUAGCUGGUCUGAGAGGAUGACCAGCCACACUGGAACUGAGACACGGUCCAGACUCCUACGGGAGGCAGCAGUGGGGGAUAUUGCACAAUGGGCGCAAGCCUGAUGCAGCCAUGCCGCGUGUAUGAAGAAGGCCUUCGGGUUGUAAAGUACUUUCAGCGGGGAGGAAGGUGUUGUGGUUAAUAACCGCAGCAAUUGACGUUACCCGCAGAAGAAGCACCGGCUAACUCCGUGCCAGCAGCCGCGGUAAUACGGAGGGUGCAAGCGUUAAUCGGAAUUACUGGGCGUAAAGCGCACGCAGGCGGUCUGUCAAGUCGGAUGUGAAAUCCCCGGGCUCAACCUGGGAACUGCAUUCGAAACUGGCAGGCUUGAGUCUUGUAGAGGGGGGUAGAAUUCCAGGUGUAGCGGUGAAAUGCGUAGAGAUCUGGAGGAAUACCGGUGGCGAAGGCGGCCCCCUGGACAAAGACUGACGCUCAGGUGCGAAAGCGUGGGGAGCAAACAGGAUUAGAUACCCUGGUAGUCCACGCCGUAAACGAUGUCUACUUGGAGGUUGUGCCCUUGAGGCGUGGCUUCCGGAGCUAACGCGUUAAGUAGACCGCCUGGGGAGUACGGCCGCAAGGUUAAAACUCAAAUGAAUUGACGGGGGCCCGCACAAGCGGUGGAGCAUGUGGUUUAAUUCGAUGCAACGCGAAGAACCUUACCUGGUCUUGACAUCCACAGAACUUUCCAGAGAUGGAUUGGUGCCUUCGGGAACUGUGAGACAGGUGCUGCAUGGCUGUCGUCAGCUCGUGUUGUGAAAUGUUGGGUUAAGUCCCGCAACGAGCGCAACCCUUAUCCUUUGUUGCCAGCGGUCCGGCCGGGAACUCAAAGGAGACUGCCAGUGAUAAACUGGAGGAAGGUGGGGAUGACGUCAAGUCAUCAUGGCCCUUACGACCAGGGCUACACACGUGCUACAAUGGCGCAUACAAAGAGAAGCGACCUCGCGAGAGCAAGCGGACCUCAUAAAGUGCGUCGUAGUCCGGAUUGGAGUCUGCAACUCGACUCCAUGAAGUCGGAAUCGCUAGUAAUCGUGGAUCAGAAUGCCACGGUGAAUACGUUCCCGGGCCUUGUACACACCGCCCGUCACACCAUGGGAGUGGGUUGCAAAAGAAGUAGGUAGCUUAACCUUCGGGAGGGCGCUUACCACUUUGUGAUUCAUGACUGGGGUGAAGUCGUAACAAGGUAACC
RNAcentral lists this ribosomal RNA (1503 nucleotides) under Salmonella enterica subsp. enterica serovar Bonn. Its description in RNAcentral is "bacterial SSU rRNA". It matches the Rfam family "Bacterial small subunit ribosomal RNA". Lineage: Bacteria; Pseudomonadati; Pseudomonadota; Gammaproteobacteria; Enterobacterales; Enterobacteriaceae. The record is from RNAcentral.